GGACCAAGGAGUCCAACACAUGUGCGAGUAUUUGGGUGGCAAACCCUGAUGCGUAAUGAAAGUAAAUAUGGUGAGAAGCGCAAGCUGCAUCAUCGGCCGGUCCUGACAAUUUAUUGGAAGGUAUCGAGUAGGAGCACAUGUGCUGGGACCCGAAAGAUGGUGAACUAUACUUGAGCAGGGUGAGGCCAGAGGAAACUCUGGUGGAGGCUCGCAGCGGUUCUGACGUGCAAAUCGAUCGUCGGACUUGAGUAUAGGGGCGAAAGACUAAUCGAACCAUCUAGUAGCUGGUUCCCUCCGAAGUUUCCCUCAGGAUAGCUGGAGCUCAUAUCAGUUCCAUGCGGUAAAGCUAAUGAUUAGAGGUAAUGGGGGCGAAACGCCCUUAACCUAUUCUCAAACUUUGAAUGCGUGGGAUGCUUGGGUUGCUUAAUUGAACCCGAGCCUCGAAUGAGAGCUCUAAGUGGGCCAUUUUUGGUAAGCAGAACUGGCGAUGCGGGAUGAACCGAAAGCUGAGUUAAGGUGCCGGAAUACACGCUCAUUUAGAUCCCAUAAAAGGUGUUGGUUCAUUAUGACAGCAGGACGGUGCCCAUGGAGGUCGGGAUCCGCUAAGGAGUGUGUAACAACUCACCCGCCGAAUGAACUAGCCCUGAAAAUGGAUGGCGCUCAAGCGUGUUACCCAUACUCGGCCGGUGGGGUAGUGAAUGCCCCACCGUGUAGGAGGGCGUGGAGAUCGUGUAGAAGUCUGGGCGUGAGCCUUGAUGGAACGGUCUCUAGUGCAGAUCUUGGUGGUAGUAGCAAAUAUUCAGAUGGGUGUUUAAUCUGAAGGCCGAAGUGGAGAAAGGUUCCGCAGCUACAGUAAUUGUCUGCGGGUAAGUCGAUCCUAAGUGAUGGGGUAGUUCUGUCGUAACGGAAUGUUGCUGCACUCUUGUGCGGCUUCAUCACAAGCGAAAGGGUAUCCGGUUAAGAUUCCGGAACUGGGAUGUCGGAGCUCAUUUAUGAGUGGUCGCGGUAACGCAAUGCAAGUUGGAUACGCCUGCUGGCCUGCUGGGAGGAGUUACCUUCUCUUCUUGACUCUUAAACAACCGCGGUAGUUAGAUUGUCUAGUGAUACGGUUCUAAAGAGGCAGAGCAUCGAUUUAUUCUUUGUCCGGCACGUCCAGACGGCCCUUGAAACUCCAACGGUAGCUGUAUCUUGACACCCAGUCGUACUCAUAACCGUGUCAGGUCUCCUAGGUUAACAACCUCUGGUCCAUUAGAAUAAUGUAGGUAAGGGAAGUCGGCAAAUUAGAUCCGUAACUUCGGGAUAAGGAUUGGCUCUAAGGGUCGGGUGGUGAAAGUUAAAAGUUGAAGCUAUAGCGCUUUCAAAACGUGCCCUUGGGCGUGUGCGGUGGUCGCUAUAGUGGAUCUCUUAACCCAAUCACUACAUUUAACGGCCAGCUUAGAACUGGUACGGACAAGAGGAAUCUGACUGUCUAAUUAAAACAUAGCAUUGCGAUGGCCAGAAAUUGGUGUUAACGAAUGUUAUUUCUGCCCAAGUGCUCUGAUGUCAACGUGAAGAAAUUAAUGUGAUUUCUGCCCAGGGCUCUGAAUGUCAACGUGAAGAAAUUCAAGCAAGCGCGGGUAAACGGCGGGAGCAACUAAUGCUCUCUUAAGGUAGCCAAAUGCCUCGUCAUCUAAUUAGUGACGCGCAUGAAUGGAUUAACGAGAUUCCCACUGUUCCCUACCCACUAUCUAGCAAACACUCCAAGGGAACGGGCUUGGAAAAAUUAGCGGGGAAAGAAGACCUGUUGAGCUUGACUCUAGUCUGGCACUGUAAGGAGACAUGAGAGGUGUAGCAUUAAGUGGGAGAUUGCCAACAUCGCCGGUGGAAUUACCACUACCUUUCAUCUUUUUUUUUACUUACUCGGUAAGGCCGAAGCGCGUGCGCCGUUCGCUCUCGAGGCAGCGGCUGUCACGUAUUCUCGAGCCAAGCACGUAGAGUGGCGUUCCGUCCGUCGUGCCUUGGCCGCGUCGGUAGACCGUUUGCCGGUUCUGCUGGCGGGUUUUGGUGCGCUUUUCGGGCGCCGUUAUACGCUCCCGUGUGAUCCGAUUCGAGGACACUGUCAGGGCGGGGAGUUUGACCGGGGCCGGUACAUCCUGUCAAAGAAUAACGCGCAGGUGUCCUAAGGCCGCUCAACCGAGGACAGAAACCUCGCCUUAGAGCAAAGGGCAAAAGCUGGCCUGGUCUCGAUGUUCAGUAUGCAUAGAAGACUGCGAAAGCACCGGCCUAUCGAUCCCUUUUUUGGCUUGAAGAGUUUCAGCAAAGAGGUGUCAGAAAAGUUACCACAGGGAUAACUGGCCUUGUGGCGGCCAAGCGUUCAUAGCGCCGUCGUUUUUGAUCCUUCGAUGUCGGCUCUUCCUAUCAUUGCGAAGCAGAAUUCGCCAAGCGUCGGAUUGUUCAC
This 2437-nucleotide ribosomal RNA is filed under the name Brassicogethes aeneus. RNAcentral's name for it is "eukaryotic LSU rRNA". It matches the Rfam family "Eukaryotic large subunit ribosomal RNA", at positions 663 to 2936 of the family's 3401-position model. The record is from RNAcentral. Lineage: Eukaryota; Metazoa; Arthropoda; Insecta; Coleoptera; Nitidulidae.